AGUAUCAGCUGAUUACUGCUGAGUAUGAUACAUGCAGGACCUCCCCCUCCAGUCAUGUGAUCAUGGGAGCAUUAGACUUUGUGUUUCCUCUGUGUUGAACACUUUGACUCCAUCCUUCAUCUGGACGGAGGCUCAUCAUGCUGAUCUCACUCAUUUAUCUCUCACUUCUUUUACACUCAGGACUCACUGUUGUAGUUCUUCAGUCUGGAGAUCAGAUAUCUGACCCUGGACUCACAGUGAAGCUGCAGUGCAGCAUGGGUCCAGGGUUCAACAUGAUGAGCUACACCAUGUUCUGGUACCGACAACACCACUACGGAGCUCCAGUGGAAUAUCUCAUCAGAGAACAUGAGCAAACAUCCGGGCACUUUCAGUCCUCUAUCGACAAAUCCAAAAACAGCUUCACUCUUGAAAUCAGUGAGCUGCUUCUCAAUGACAGCAGCACCUACUACUGUGCUGCCAGUCACAGUGAUGCACACAGAGCAGACCGUCAUACAAAUAACAAGACUGACUGUCACAGAUGGCACACAGGCAGGAAGGAGCUGUGGCUCCACUGGUUUGGCUCUUAACAAACAGUGAGGAGAGAAUAUAAAAGAGGCUUCAUGUUGGAGACAAGAAAUGAAAUAAAACUCAAAUUCUGGUUAAAUUCACCAGAUACAGUUUCAGUUUUCACAGCUUCGGUUGUCGUUUCUCAUGUUCGUUAAGUGCAAAGAAGCAGAAUCAGUCAGAUCAGCUGUGUGCAGAGGAAGAAGGUGGGGAAGAGGAGGUGUGACGUAGAAGGGAAGGUAGUCAUCGCUCAUUUGUAAUGAGUCUGUCAGAGCAGAGGACCAUGUGAAUGCUCCACCUCUGAUACUAGAUAUCAGUACAUGUUUUAUCUGUACAUUUGAUAUGAAAGUAAUCAGUGUAUUUUGGUUAUUUGUCACUGUUGCACAGCUUUAACUUCAGUUUCCAGGAUGUCUCCAGCUUUCUACACAUGUGGAUUUUUACUGCUCGUGCUCACAAGAAAAGUGUCGAGUGUUGAAUUUAAACAGCCCUCUUCUAAAGUUGUGGUUGAAGGGACGAAGGAGCUCGACAUUACCUGCAGUCAUGAUGACAGCAGCCUCCAAGUGA
Long non-coding RNA from Acanthopagrus latus (yellowfin seabream), 1107 nucleotides. RefSeq lists it as uncharacterized. The transcript is spliced from 3 exons. The record is from RefSeq and is a predicted model, not a curated record. NCBI's taxonomy places the organism in Eukaryota, Metazoa, Chordata, Actinopteri, Spariformes, Sparidae.